Molecule: ribosomal RNA, 301 nt
Filed under: uncultured bacterium
Lineage: Bacteria
Description: partial 16S ribosomal RNA
Rfam family: Bacterial small subunit ribosomal RNA
Source: RNAcentral
CAGCAGCCGCGGGAAUACGUAGGUGGCAAGCGUUGUCCGGAAUUAUUGGGCGUAAAGGGCUCGCAGGCGGUUUCUUAAGUCUGAUGUGAAAGCCCCCGGCUCAACCGGGGAGGGUCAUUGGAAACUGGGAAACUUGAGUGCAGAAGAGGAGAGUGGAAUUCCACGUGUAGCGGUGAAAUGCGUAGAGAUGUGGAGGAACACCAGUGGCGAAGGCGACUCUCUGGUCUGUAACUGACGCUGAGGAGCGAAAGCGUGGGGAGCGAACAGGAUUAGAUACCCGAGUAGUCCCUGUCUCUUAUAA